UUGCCUACGGGGCGCAGCAGUAGGGAAUCUUCCACAAUGGGCGAAAGCCUGAUGGAGCAACGCCGCGUGGGUGAAGAAGGUCUUCGGAUCGUAAAACCCUGUUGUUAGAGAAGAAAGUGCGUGAGAGUAACUGUUCACGUUUCGACGGUAUCUAACCAGAAAGCCACGGCUAACUACGUGCAAGCAGCCGCGGUAAUACGUAGGUGGCAGGCGUUAUCCGGAUUUAUUGGGCGUAAAGGGAACGCAGGCGGUCUUUUAAGCCUGAUGUGAAAGCCUUCGGAUUAACCAGAGU
RNAcentral lists this ribosomal RNA (292 nucleotides) under uncultured bacterium. RNAcentral's name for it is "partial 16S ribosomal RNA". It matches the Rfam family "Bacterial small subunit ribosomal RNA", at positions 335 to 619 of the family's 1533-position model. The record is from RNAcentral.